GAUGAACGCUGGCGGCGUGCCUAAUACAUGCAAGUCGAGCGAACGGACGAGAAGCUUGCUUCUCUGAUGUUAGCGGCGGACGGGUGAGUAACACGUGGAUAACCUACCUAUAAGACUGGGAUAACUUCGGGAAACCGGAGCUAAUACCGGAUAAUAUUUUGAACCGCAUGGUUCAAAAGUGAAAGACGGUCUUGCUGUCACUUAUAGAUGGAUCCGCGCUGCAUUAGCUAGUUGGUAAGGUAACGGCUUACCAAGGCAACGAUGCAUAGCCGACCUGAGAGGGUGAUCGGCCACACUGGAACUGAGCCACGGUCCAGACUACUACGGGAGGCAGCAGUAGGGAAUCUUCCGCAAUGGGCGAAAGCCUGACGGAGCAACGCCGCGUGAGUGAUGAAGGUCUUCGGAUCGUAAAACUCUGUUAUUAGGGAAGAACAUAUGUGUAAGUAACUGUGCACAUCUUGACGGUACCUAAUCAGAAAGCCACGGCUAACUACGUG
RNAcentral lists this ribosomal RNA (497 nucleotides) under uncultured bacterium. RNAcentral's name for it is "partial 16S ribosomal RNA". It matches the Rfam family "Bacterial small subunit ribosomal RNA", at positions 28 to 507 of the family's 1533-position model. The record is from RNAcentral.